This 373-nucleotide ribosomal RNA is filed under the name uncultured organism. RNAcentral describes it as "partial 16S ribosomal RNA". It matches the Rfam family "Bacterial small subunit ribosomal RNA", at positions 527 to 896 of the family's 1533-position model. The record is from RNAcentral.
GUAGGUGGCAAGCGUUGUCCGGAAUUAUUGGGCGUAAAGCGCGCGCAGGCGGUUCUUUAAGUCUGAUGUGAAAGCCCACGGCUCAACCGUGGAGGGUCAUUGGAAACUGGAGAACUUGAGUACAGAAGAGGAAAGCGGAAUUCCACGUGUAGCGGUGAAAUGCGUAGAGAUGUGGAGGAACACCAGUGGCGAAGGCGGCUUUCUGGUCUGUAACUGACGCUGAGGCGCGAAAGCGUGGGGAGCAAACAGGGAUUAGAUACCCUGGUAGUCCACGCCGUAAACGAUGAGCGCUAAGUGUUAGGGGGUUUCCGCCCCCUUAGUGCUGCAGCUAACGCAUUAAGCACUCCGCCUGGGGAGUACGGCCGCAAGGUUG